RNAcentral lists this ribosomal RNA (701 nucleotides) under uncultured bacterium. RNAcentral's name for it is "bacterial SSU rRNA". It matches the Rfam family "Bacterial small subunit ribosomal RNA", at positions 63 to 765 of the family's 1533-position model. The record is from RNAcentral.
CGAACGAAGCGCUUUUCCCGAAUUUUCGGAGGAGGGGAGAGUGACUGAGUGGCGGACGGGUGAGUAACGCGUGGGGAACCUGCCCUGUACCGGGGGAUAACAGCCGGAAACGGCUGCUAAUACCGCAUAAGCGCACAGUGCCGCAUGGCACGGUGUGAAAAACCACGGUGGUACAGGAUGGCCCCGCGUCUGAUUAGUUGGUUGGCAGGGUAACGGCCUACCAAGACGGCGAUCAGUAGCCGGCCUGAGAGGGUGAACGGCCACACUGGGACUGAGACACGGCCCAGACUCCUGCGGGAGGCAGCAGUGGGGAAUAUUGCACAAUGGGGGAAACCCUGAUGCAGCGACGCCGCGUGAGCGAGGAAGUAUUUCGGUAUGUAAAGCUCUGUCAGCAGGGAAGAAGAAUGACGGUACCUGAAGAAGAAGCCCCGGCUAAAUACGUGCCAGCAGCCGCGGUAAUACGUAGGGGGCAAGCGUUAUCCGGAUUUACUGGGUGUAAAGGGAGCGCAGGCGGUUACGCAAGUCUGAAGUGAAAGGCGGGGGCCCAACCCCCGGACUGCUUUGGAAACUGCGGGACUGGAGUGCAGGAGAGGUAAGUGGAAUUCCUAGUGUAGCGGUGAAAUGCGUAGAUAUUUGGAGGAACACCAGUGGCGAAGGCGGCUUACUGGACUGUAACUGACGUUGAGGCUCGAAAGCGUGGG